RNAcentral lists this ribosomal RNA (301 nucleotides) under uncultured bacterium. RNAcentral's name for it is "partial 16S ribosomal RNA". It matches the Rfam family "Bacterial small subunit ribosomal RNA", at positions 509 to 808 of the family's 1533-position model. The record is from RNAcentral.
CAGAGCCGCGGUAAUACGGAGGGAGCUAGCGUUGUUCGGAAUUACUGGGCGUAAAGCGCGCGUAGGCGGUUACUCAAGUCAGAGGUGAAAGCCCGGGGCUCAACCCCGGAACUGCCUUUGAAACUAGGUGACUAGAAUCUUGGAGAGGUCAGUGGAAUUCCGAGUGUAGAGGUGAAAUUCGUAGAUAUUCGGAAGAACACCAGUGGCGAAGGCGACUGACUGGACAAGUAUUGACGCUGAGGUGCGAAAGCGUGGGGAGCAAACAGGAUUAGAUACCCCCGUAGUCCCUGUCUCUUAUACA